AUUGAACGCUGGCGGCAUGCUUUACACAUGCAAGUCGAACGGUAACAGGCCGCAAGGUGCUGACGAGUGGCGAACGGGUGAGUAAUGCAUCGGAACGUGCCCAGUCGUGGGGGAUAACUACUCGAAAGAGUAGCUAAUACCGCAUACGAUCUAUGGAUGAAAGCGGGGGACCGUAAGGCCUCGCGCGAUUGGAGCGGCCGAUGUCAGAUUAGGUAGUUGGUGGGGUAAAGGCUCACCAAGCCAACGAUCUGUAGCUGGUCUGAGAGGACGACCAGCCACACUGGGACUGAGACACGGCCCAGACUCCUACGGGAGGCAGCAGUGGGGAAUUUUGGACAAUGGGCGCAAGCCUGAUCCAGCAAUGCCGCGUGCAGGAAGAAGGCCUUCGGGUUGUAAACUGCUUUUGUACGGAACGAAACGGCUCUGGUUAAUACCCGGGGCUAAUGACGGUACCGUAAGAAUAGGCACCGGCUAACUACGUG
RNAcentral lists this ribosomal RNA (482 nucleotides) under uncultured bacterium. Its description in RNAcentral is "partial 16S ribosomal RNA". It matches the Rfam family "Bacterial small subunit ribosomal RNA", at positions 30 to 507 of the family's 1533-position model. The record is from RNAcentral.